This 440-nucleotide ribosomal RNA is filed under the name uncultured bacterium. RNAcentral's name for it is "partial 16S ribosomal RNA". It matches the Rfam family "Bacterial small subunit ribosomal RNA", at positions 338 to 795 of the family's 1533-position model. The record is from RNAcentral.
CCUACGGGCGGCAGCAGUGGGGAAUAUUGGACAAUGGGGGAAACCCUGAUCCAGCGACGCCGCGUGAGUGAAGAAGUAUUUCGGUACGUAAAGCUCUAUCAGCAGGGAAGAAAAUGACGGUACCUGACUAAGAAGCCCCGGCUAACUACGUGCCAGCAGCCGCGGUAAUACGUAGGGGGCAAGCGUUAUCCGGAUUUACUGGGUGUAAAGGGAGCGUAGACGGCGGAACAAGUCAGAAGUGAAAACCCGGGGCUCAACCCUGGGAGUGCUUUUGAAACUGUUUGGCUGGAGUGCAGGAGAGGUAAGCGGAAUUCCUAGUGUAGCGGUGAAAUGCGUAGAUAUUAGGAGGAACACCAGUGGCGAAGGCGGCUUACUGGACUGUAACUGACGUUGAGGCUCGAAAGCGUGGGGAGCAAACAGGAUUAGAUACCCUUGUAGUC